Molecule: ribosomal RNA, 491 nt
Filed under: uncultured bacterium
Lineage: Bacteria
Description: bacterial SSU rRNA
Rfam family: Bacterial small subunit ribosomal RNA
Source: RNAcentral
CUACGUGCCAGCAGCCGCGGUAAUACGUAGGGCGCGAGCGUUGUCCGGAAUUAUUGGGCGUAAAGAGCUUGUAGGCGGUUUGUCGCGUCUGUUGUGAAAGGCCGGGGCUUAACUCCGUGUAUUGCAGUGGGUACGGGCAGACUAGAGUGCAGUAGGGGAGACUGGAAUUCCUGGUGUAGCGGUGGAAUGCGCAGAUAUCAGGAGGAACACCGAUGGCGAAGGCAGGUCUCUGGGCUGUAACUGACGCUGAGAAGCGAAAGCAUGGGGAGCGAACAGGAUUAGAUACCCUGGUAGUCCAUGCCGUAAACGUUGGGCACUAGGUGUGGGGAACAUUCCACGUUUUCCGCGCCGUAGCUAACGCAUUAAGUGCCCCGCCUGGGGAGUACGGCCGCAAGGCUAAAACUCAAAGAAAUUGACGGGGGCCCGCAACAAGCGGCGGAGCAUGCGGAUUAAUUCGAUGCAACGCGAAGAACCUUACCAAGGCUUGACAU